UUCAAUCACUUGAUUUUGCACAGAAGUCUCGUAGAAACCCAUUUUCAUUUCAAUUUCUUUUACAGAAGCCACGCCCACCAGCGACGGACCAACAACCACCAGCAAUGUCUCUAUUCUUCUCUAUAAAAAAUCUCUAUUUGCAGCUACAAAGCUGGUUGGAGAAGAUGAAGAGAAGCAAGUUGUUGGCGGUCGUUGCAGUCACUGGAGAAGAGGCAGACGCGGAGCAGAGGCAGUUAUCCUCGUGAAAAAGAUGACCAACGAACUUUCUUCGUCGAAUCUCCGUUCGCGAGGGGAAAAGGAUAUCCAAAUCAAGCUUGGUAGGCACUUGCCUAGCACGAGGGAGCUUCGGUUCAUAAUACUCACCUGGUGAAAAACUAGUUCGUGGGUGGACAGUAGUCCACAAGUUGAUGAUAUGGUAUUGUUAGAGUUUGGUAGACAAGUGCUUGAUUCGAGAGAGCUACGGCUAUGAGCUCGGUAAGGAUUAAGCUUGGAUGAGGGUGAGCCAGUGUAGAUUGACCUUAGAAGGGUAGUUAUGUGUAUGGAGCAAUCUUGAACAACAGAUCCGUAAGGGUUUGUGUUGAGGGCAAAAAAAGAGGGUUUGAUUUUAUAUUUAGAUUUUGUUACCUUAUUUAUCUUGAGAUGUAUGGGCGCUUAAGCCCUAAUGUGAAUGUUUAAUGAAUGGUGAUGUAAAUAUUUAUAUUGGCCUCUGUUGUUAUUAAAUGUUCGGUAUCAAAGCCUGUAUAAAAAAAUAU
This is a long non-coding RNA of Diospyros lotus (date-plum), 752 nucleotides long. RefSeq lists it as uncharacterized. The transcript has 3 exons. The record is from RefSeq and is a predicted model, not a curated record. NCBI's taxonomy places the organism in Eukaryota, Viridiplantae, Streptophyta, Magnoliopsida, Ericales, Ebenaceae.